CCGAAACACACACUUACAGGAUAUGUGACACAGUCUCUGGACGGGAGAAAGUCGUACACCGUAAUCUGUUGAUGUUGGUGAAUUUCCUGCCUGUGGAAAACACAAGUGUGAUCUAUGACCCAGUCUCAUCUUUGUCUUCUGUUCAGCAGUCAAACCCAAGUGAGGACUCAGUGUCAAUAGUGAGACAAAGUCAUUUGCGUGACGACAUGAGUGAGGACUGUGAUGAUCUAAUUUCUAGCCCGGGAAUUCAGGGAGAACGGAUGGGACGAACAGAGGGAGGGAGAGUUGAAUCUGAUUCCAUAACUGUUCCAGGGCAAGUGGAUUCUGAGGGACGAACUGUAGAGUGGAUUGCACUAUCACCAUUCCCUGAUACCCCGCAAGCUGAGUCAGCUGAUAAUGGAGGAAUAGAAUCAGUUCCUCUUGUCUCUCAAAGUGACCCGGUAAUAUCUGAGGACAAGAUAGGAGACCAGUUCAUGGCCUCUGACUCUUCACCUGUGACAAGCACUGACGGUAGUACAGUUGUUGCCAGCAACAUGGAUGGACAGACUGUUGUAACACAGAUAGACAAAGCUAAUGACAUGGAUAGUGUUGACACAGUAGCUUCUGUUUCACAGUCUGAAAAUCCUAGUACGUUCACACAGGUGAGGUCUAGAUUUGGUCGCAUUCUUAAGCCAGUUGACAGACUAAUUCAAACUAUGUCAAGGCAAGAUAUUAUUCACGCACAUCCGUCUAUGACGGCUAUCUGGAAGUCAGUGUUUUAGGUUUUUCAUGACUAGACUUAGAGUUGAGGUCAUACACACGUUUGGUAACAUUGGUUAUAUGGUCCAAGCUUUUCUGGUGAGCUUUAUUAAAAGAAAUGUUUAUCUGUUUUUGUUUUCCUUACUUUUCUUAGUGGCUUUAGUACACAGUAUACGUGGGUCUUGUGGGGUGUAUAAGGCACCCUACUGCCAGUGGUUGGUUGGAGAGUUUGCGCACCUCUUCUUCCACUUCAUCCUUAUUGGAUACCUUUGGGUUGGCUGUCCUGUAAUUGGUGACCCUCUGUCUAGUGUUAGAAAGUAAUGUACUUAAAGUAUUGCCGCUCAAAUUUGGUGAAAUUCAGGGGAGGUGGGUGUAACAGAGUUAGAAAUGUCAGUUAGUGUUUGUAUGUGAUUUUCACCAUAAUUAAGCAGCUGUAUUGAGUUUGGUGUUUUGGAGCCCUCCUUUGGAGAAACGGUGUACUGCAGCUCUGCUGCGUUUUGUCCUUGUGUUGUUGCCAUACCCGAUCAGAAGCGGGAUGCUUUACAUCGGAUGCUGUUAUAUGUACACCAGUGCCUGAAGGCAUGUUUUGUUCUGAUUUUUCCAAAGGUAUGUUGCUUCAUAUGUUAAAUGUGAAUUAGUUUCAGAAUGAGGAAAUAUUUUCCUGUGUUUAUUUUUCUUAUGUUUAUUUUAUACCCUUCUUGUAUGCUAAAGGUGUAUCCUUCUGUAUGAAUGUUUCUUUUGUAACAAUUUACCAAAGAGAUGAGAAGCGGGAUGCUUUACAUCGGAUGCUGUUAUAUGUACACCAGUGCCUGAAGGCAUGUUUUGUUCUGAUUUUUCCAAAGAUUCUCCAAAGGAAUAAAUGUGAGAAAAGCCA
Rhinichthys klamathensis goyatoka is the source of this 1612-nucleotide long non-coding RNA. RefSeq lists it as uncharacterized. The transcript is spliced from 2 exons. NCBI's taxonomy places the organism in Eukaryota, Metazoa, Chordata, Actinopteri, Cypriniformes, Leuciscidae. The record is from RefSeq and is a predicted model, not a curated record.